Molecule: ribosomal RNA, 484 nt
Filed under: uncultured bacterium
Lineage: Bacteria
Description: partial 16S ribosomal RNA
Rfam family: Bacterial small subunit ribosomal RNA
Source: RNAcentral
AUUGAACGCUGGCGGCAGGCCUAACACAUGCAAGUCGAGCGGAUGAAGGGAGCUUGCUCCUGGAUUCAGCGGCGGACGGGUGAGUAAUGCCUAGGAAUCUGCCUGGUAGUGGGGGAUAACGUCCGGAAACGGGCGCUAAUACCGCAUACGUCCUGAGGGAGAAAGUGGGGGAUCUUCGGACCUCACGCUAUCAGAUGAGCCUAGGUCGGAUUAGCUAGUUGGUGGGGUAAAGGCCUACCAAGGCGACGAUCUGUAACUGGUCUGAGAGGAUGAUCAGUCACACUGGAACUGAGACACGGUCCAGACCCCUACGGGAGGCAGCAGUGGGGAAUAUUGGACAAUGGGCGAAAGCCUGAUCCAGCCAUGCCGCGUGUGUGAAGAAGGUCUUCGGAUUGUAAAGCACUUUAAGUUGGGAGGAAGGGCAGUAAGUUAAUACCUUGCUGUUUUGACGUUACCAACAGAAUAAGCACCGGCUAACUUCGUG